CCGCCAUAUCCCGUUGAAAGACCGGUUCUCGUAUGCUCACCGAAGUUAAGCAACGUCGAGACUGUUCAGUAUUUAGAUGGGUGACCGCUUGGAAAUGCGAGUGGUGUA
Non-coding RNA from Acanthosepion pharaonis, 108 nucleotides. The record is from the annotation of a GenBank genome assembly. Lineage: Eukaryota; Metazoa; Mollusca; Cephalopoda; Sepiida; Sepiidae.